AGAGUUUGAUCCUGGCUCAGAUUGAACGCUGGCGGCAGGCCUAACACAUGCAAGUCGAGCGGUAGAGAGAAGCUUGCUUCUCUUGAGAGCGGCGGACGGGUGAGUAAUGCCUAGGAAUCUGCCUAGUGGUGGGGGAUAACGUUCGGAAACGGACGCUAAUACCGCAUACGUCCUACGGGAGAAAGCGGGGGACCUUCGGGCCUCGCGCCAUUAGAUGAGCCUAGGUCGGAUUAGCUAGUUGGUGAGGUAAUGGCUCACCAAGGCGACGAUCCGUAACUGGUCUGAGAGGAUGAUCAGUCACACUGGAACUGAGACACGGUCCAGACUCCUACGGGAGGCAGCAGUGGGGAAUAUUGGACAAUGGGCGAAAGCCUGAUCCAGCCAUGCCGCGUGUGUGAAGAAGGUCUUCGGAUUGUAAAGCACUUUAAGUUGGGAGGAAGGGUAGUAACUUAAUACGUUGCUACUUUGACGUUACCGACAGAAUAAGCACCGGCUAACUUCGUGCCAGCAGCCGCGGUAAUACGAAGGGUGCAAGCGUUAUCCGGAUUCAUUGGGUCUAAAGGGUGCGUAGGCGGCUUUUUAAGUCAGUGGUGAAAUCUUGCCGCUUAACGGUAAAAUUGCCAUUGAUACUGAAAAGCUUGAGUCCAGUUGAGGUAAGCGGAAUGUGUAGUGUAGCGGUGAAAUGCUUAGAUAUUACACAGAACACCGAUUGCGAAGGCAGCUUACUAAACUGGUACUGACGCUGAUGCACGAAAGCGUGGGGAGCGAACAGGAUUAGAUACCCUGGUAGUCC
RNAcentral lists this ribosomal RNA (793 nucleotides) under uncultured bacterium. Its description in RNAcentral is "bacterial SSU rRNA". It matches the Rfam family "Bacterial small subunit ribosomal RNA", at positions 8 to 796 of the family's 1533-position model. The record is from RNAcentral.